CAGCCGCCGCGGUAAUACGUAGGUGGCAAGCGUUGUCCGGAAUUAUUGGGCGUAAAGGGCUCGCAGGCGGUUUCUUAAGUCUGAUGCGAAAGCCCCCGGCUCAACCGGGGAGGGUCAUUGGAAACUGGGAAACUUGAGUGCAGAAGAGGAGAGUGGAAUUCCACGUGUAGCGGUAAAAUGCGUAGAGAUGUGGAGGAACACCAGUGGCGAAGGCGACUCUCUGGUCUGUAACUGACGCUGAGGAGCGAAAGCGUGGGGAGCGAACGGGAUUAGAUACCCCGGUAGUCCCUGUCUCUUAUAC
This 301-nucleotide ribosomal RNA is filed under the name uncultured bacterium. RNAcentral's name for it is "partial 16S ribosomal RNA". It matches the Rfam family "Bacterial small subunit ribosomal RNA", at positions 509 to 807 of the family's 1533-position model. The record is from RNAcentral.